UACGGAGGUGGCAAGCGUUGCUCGGAAUCACUGGGCGUAAAGGGCGCGUAGGCGGGGGGGUAAGUCGGGUGUGAAAUCCCUCGGCCCAACCGAGGAACUGCGCCCGAGACUGCUUCUCUUGAGUCCCGGAGAGGAAGAUGGAAUUCCCGGUGUAGCGGUGAAAUGUGUAGAGAUCGGGAGGAACACCGGUGGCGAAGGCGGUCUUCUGGACGGUGACUGACGCUGAGGCGCGAAAGCGUGGGGAGCGAACAGG
Molecule: ribosomal RNA, 253 nt
Filed under: uncultured bacterium
Lineage: Bacteria
Description: partial 16S ribosomal RNA
Rfam family: Bacterial small subunit ribosomal RNA
Source: RNAcentral